CAUCAGCAUAAAGUCUAUUGCAGCAUAACCAAGGGAAGAUUCAGGGUCACCUGAUCCACCUCUAACUAUUAGCUUUGUCAAAAAGGAAAUCCUUAGCUGCCUUGGAGUAUACCUGUUAGCCGACUGGCAUAGUGGCAUUGAUGAUUAGUGGCUUUGAGUAACGCCUGCCGAGUCCGAGCCCAGGUGCAACGGCAAUGCGGGAGAUGGUGCCGGACUGAGGGAACGGUGAGGUCAGCCUCUUCCUCAGGAAAUAGGGGUGGCUGAUACCCUAGGGAGACUUCUAAAGGGGACAAGCCAGUUGCAGAAGAUAUGAGGGUGUUGUGUGCAUACUCUAUCCAAGGUAGAUGAGAGGACCAUGUCGCUGGGUUGUAAGUGGUUAGGCAGUGGAGGGUAGACUCCAACUCCUGGUUGAGCCUCUCUGUCUGGCCGCUGGACUGCGGAUGGUAUCCAGAACUGAGACUGACCUUGGCUCCCAGAGCAGUGCAGAAGGUCUUCCAGACAUGGGAGGUGAACUGUGGUCCCCGUUCCGAAACAAUCUCCGAAGGGAUGCCGUGAAGCCUGAAGACAUGGUUAACCAGGAGCUUAGUAUUCUGAAGGGCUGAAGGGAGUUUGUCCAGGGCGACGAAGUGAGCAGCCUUUGAAAACCUGUUGACUAUGGACAAAAUGACAGUUCCCAGAAGAGAAAGGGUCUCCCACCAGAAGUACCAUUUUAAUAAUGAAAUGGUCCUACCUAUGCUGGGAUGACAGGCAAACCUAGCAGUGCUGAUCCAGUUGAUUGCUGUGGAACGGGCUGAGGAGGUGGUCAGGCCAUCCAGUGCCAGGAUCAGGUUCAUCCUGGAGGGCCUGGCGAAUUGUCUUCUCCACGUCCCAGGAAAUUAAACCCACCCUGCAGGUGGCAGGACGAGGUCGACCAAGUAUGACGGCCACCUUAAGCUCCUCCAGCGGCUUAGAG
Molecule: long non-coding RNA, 952 nt
Organism: Oreochromis aureus
Lineage: Eukaryota; Metazoa; Chordata; Actinopteri; Cichliformes; Cichlidae
Source: Ensembl